CCAAUAGAGUUUAUUGGCAUUCUGUCCACCUCCCCUCCUUUCUUCAAAUCUUUUUAUUCAAAUUUUUUGGUUUUUGUUUUUUUUUUUUUUUAUUAAAGAAAAUUUAUUUAUAAUAUAGGGGGAGGUGGGCAUACUGCCAACUGAGUUCUGUUGG
Cucumis melo (muskmelon) is the source of this 154-nucleotide non-coding RNA. The record is from Rfam. NCBI's taxonomy places the organism in Eukaryota, Viridiplantae, Streptophyta, Magnoliopsida, Cucurbitales, Cucurbitaceae.